This is a long non-coding RNA of Canis lupus familiaris (dog), 2779 nucleotides long. RefSeq lists it as uncharacterized. The record is from RefSeq and is a predicted model, not a curated record. NCBI's taxonomy places the organism in Eukaryota, Metazoa, Chordata, Mammalia, Carnivora, Canidae. The transcript is spliced from 2 exons.
CUCAGUAUUAAUUCUGCAAAAAAGAAAAUUGCUGUGUUUGGCAGACGUCUCCCCAAACCUGAACGCUAAAGACUAAAUAACUGUUAUCGACAGUGACGUUGCUCAGUUCCUGGGAAUACUUUUCAUCACUAACCACCACCCCCCCGGCAGAUCCCAGCAGACGCCCCCCAUCCCGGGGGGGGGCAGGAGCAGAGAGGCAGAGGGUCUUUUUUUUCCUGCGAGGGGGCCUCUUUAGAGCUGAGACUGAUCAUGAGCGACACCUGCUCCCCAUUUUCUGGGAUACACGACUCUCCCAAACUGCUGGAAGCAUGACAGCAAAAUAGGGUUCACCCUCUUCUAAAUUUCCAAUGACACUUGCUGUCAAUACGAGGAGUUCUGGCCAACGGCUGGCCCAGGCUCCUGGAUAAACAGCCAUGAACCUGAGCAAGGGCAGCAACACAACAAAUCCAACACACACUGAGAUUUGGAUUUAGAGAGGUGACAUUUCUUGAUUACUAAUCCACCCCUGAAGGCACCAUUCGCUGGAUUUGGGGGAAAAAGAGCUAAACGGUCAUUCUCUUUUAGUGCUCACUCCCAUCCGAUAACUUCAAAACUUGCCUUGUCUGCCGUGGAGCAAACACAAGAGCCUGUGUUUCUCGGCAGCUCCCUCUCCGCCUUCCCCUCUGUGACGUCCCUCCCUGGGCAGGGGAGCAGGGCGGCCUGCGAGCUCGUGCUGGGAGUGAACCGUUAAGGUACCUGCAUGUGGAACUUUCUGGCAGACGAUGACCUCGGUCCCUGGCUGCUGCUGGCCUCGCUGGCAUUUCCAGCUCACCAUGCAGGUGUGAAGGGCAGUGCGGCCCGCCAGGGUCCGGCCGCGCUCUCACGAUGCCUGCUGGCGACCUCAGCAGGUGCCCGGGAAGCUCCAAGACCCCGGUUCCCAUUUUCGGACUUUGGCUAGAGAACAACCGGGGUGCAGCAACAGAGGCCAGUCCUGGGGUGCCCCAGGUGCGUGGGGGAAAUGUGGCCUUGGACAGGCUGAACGAAGAGACCAUCCCGCAAGACCAAGGACCCAGGGGCCAGCGGUGUUCUUGCCGGAGAGCAGCGGUUCUCAAAGUGUGGUCCCUGAGGCAGUAGCAUCAGCAUCACGCGGCGGGUUCAGAACCUGUGUUUCAUCGACUUGGAGAACCACACAGCAAGGGGACAAGUUUUGAUCAAACGCUUUUCUGCUCCUCACGCUCUGCUGAAUGUCACCGGGGUCAGGAACUGUGGCAUUAAACACUCGCCUACUGUUGGUCCAGACCUGCGGCCCGGGGAGAGGAGGGUGGAGGGGAGGUGUCAGGCCCAGCCCAGGAAGGGAGGUGAGUGACCCUACAGAGGCCAGGCGUCCAGAGAGGUGGGGCUGGGAUGGAAUCUAUAAAUCCCUUUCCAGAAAGUCCAAACGCCCCAUGUGUUAUAAAUGAACAUGCCUUUUUCAUGACAGAAAGCCUCUCCUUGAGCCGGAGGGUGAGAAGGUCAGAGAGAGGAGAGUUGGUUGUUGAAAUUUGUGUCUUUCCAAAGCACGCUGUCAGCAUUUUGGGGCAGUUCCUGAAGGCUGGUCUCCACCCCAGCCAAGGCCAGCUCCUAGCCUGGGUUUUCAGAGCAGGUUCAGUCCGGUUCCUGCCCCUUUGUCUCCAGGCUGGGAGCCCACCGAGGAGCCCACUUACCUGUCCCUGCUCGGUGCCCUGAACUGGGUUCCCACCCCGUGGGCCUCCUCGGCCCCUCCACUGGAGAGGAGGGCAGGCCUCUGUGCCCAUUUGUCCUGGCAGGGACAGUGGGGCUGUAGCUGUCCUUGACUGUCUGAGAUGAGGGAUGCUCCCCAGCUCGGCACCAUCAGGGAUUCCUCCCAGCUCCUUCAAGAGGAGCUUUAGCUCUAAUUCCUUUUGCAAACAAACAAACAAACAACCCACAAAGUUUUGCAAGUCAGCUUCUAUAUAAGCGUUAGGUAUUUAUGAGGAUUUAGGAAACGGAUGAUCUGUCCAGAAGUAGGUGCAUCUGGCUGUGCUGUGUCCCUUCAGAUCCUGACCUGGGGAGAAUUUGAGGAGGCUGGGAACCUGGCACCACAAGACCCAAGAUUUGCUUUGCAAAAGAAACCACCCUAUCAGUGUGGUUUUCUUACAGAUUGAAGCCAAUCUACCCACGCUUCCUCUCCAGGCCCUCUGAGCAGGUGUGCAGUGUUGUAUGAUACUCAGCUGGAGUCACAUGCAUCCUCUAGGGGAGGAGUUGACCAAGCUACCUCCCCAGCAGCCCACCGCCCUCCCCAGCCUCCCCUAACAAGCUUAGGCCCAUUGACUUUGGCUCCAAGACUAGGUACAGGAGACAUAUGAAGCUUCCAGAUUGUCAAAGAGUUUAUCAUGCUGCCCAAGUCCCAAGAAACUUGCUAGCACCUGCUAGCACCCAGGCCUCAGGAUUUGAGUGUGGGCCCCAGUCCCCACAGGUGGCCUCUCUGAGGCUGCAGCCUACCUGCUGGGCCUGCUUCCCUUCACCAGUGGGACACUGGGACCCUGGCUUAUUGGGGCCUCCAGCCGAAGGGAGGUGCCAGCCACAGCCUCGCAUCACAGGAAGUCCCCAGGCGCCCUGGCCUGACCCCAACCCUUGUGUGCUCCCUGUCCCUGCAGAGAAGGUAAAUCUAGCUCUUCCUGUAACAGUCCCCUCUGUGAAAACCCCACCUAUUCAGAACACAAUGUGUUCUCAAAGUCUGUGCUUGCCUAUUCUCUGCAGACUCCCCAGGAUGUAACUGUGGAUAAAAAGAUUAUUUAUUUUA